UACGAAGGGGGCUAGCGUUGCUCGGAAUUACUGGGCGUAAAGCGCACGUAGGCGGUCUUUUUAAGUCGGGGGGUGGAAAUCCUGGAGCUCAACUCCAGAACUGCCUUCGAUACUGGCGAUCUCGAGUUCGGGGAGAGGUGAGUGGAACUGCGAGUGUAGAGGUGAAAUUCGUAGAUAUUCGCAAGAACACCAGUGGCGAAGGCGGCUCACUGGCCCGGUACUGACGCUGAGGUGCGAAAGCGUGGGGAGCAAACAGGG
Molecule: ribosomal RNA, 258 nt
Filed under: uncultured bacterium
Lineage: Bacteria
Description: partial 16S ribosomal RNA
Rfam family: Bacterial small subunit ribosomal RNA
Source: RNAcentral